UUUCAUAUAUUUUAAUUAGAAUUUAAUAUUGAAGAUAUUAAGGUGAAAAUGAUUUCUAUGAAUA
This 64-nucleotide transfer RNA is filed under the name Phraortes sp. 1 NS-2020. RNAcentral describes it as "tRNA-Phe". Lineage: Eukaryota; Metazoa; Arthropoda; Insecta; Phasmatodea; Lonchodidae. The record is from RNAcentral.